UGGGGAAUAUUGGUCAAUGGGGGAAACCCUGAACCAGCAACGCCGCGUGAGGGAAGAAGGCCUUCGGGUUGUAAACCUAAGUUGUCAGGGAAGAAGUAAGUGACGGUACCUGAAGAGAAAGCUCCGGCUAACUACGUGCCAGCAGCCGCGGUAAUACGUAGGGAGCGAGCGUUGUCCGGAAUUACUGGGUGUAAAGGGUGCGUAGGCGGGAAAGCAAGUCAGACGUGAAAUGCCGGGGCUCAACCCCGGAGCUGCGUUUGAAACUGUUUUUCUUGAGUGAAGUAGAGGCAGGCGGAAUUCCUAGUGUAGCGGUGAAAUGCGUAGAUAUUAGGAGGAACACCAGUGGCGAAGGCGGCCUGCUGGGCUUUAACUGACGCUGAGGCACGAAAGCAUGGGGAGCAAACAGG
This 407-nucleotide ribosomal RNA is filed under the name uncultured bacterium. RNAcentral describes it as "bacterial SSU rRNA". It matches the Rfam family "Bacterial small subunit ribosomal RNA", at positions 355 to 776 of the family's 1533-position model. The record is from RNAcentral.